Molecule: ribosomal RNA, 425 nt
Filed under: uncultured bacterium
Lineage: Bacteria
Description: bacterial SSU rRNA
Rfam family: Bacterial small subunit ribosomal RNA
Source: RNAcentral
GAAUUUUGGACAAUGGGCGCAAGCCUGAUCCAGCAAUGCCGCGUGCAGGAAGAAGGCCUUCGGGUUGUAAACUGCUUUUGUACGGAACGAAAAGGCUCUGGCUAAUACCCGGGGCUCAUGACGGUACCCUAAGAAUAAGCACCCGCUAACUACGUGCCAGCCGCCGCGGUAAGACGUAGGGUGCAAGCGUUAAUCGGAAUUACUGGGCGUAAAGCGUGCGCAGGCGGUUUUGUAAGACAGGCGUGAAAUCCCCGGGCUCAACCUGGGAAUUGCGCUUGUGACUGCAAGGCUGGAGUGCGGCAGAGGGGGAUGGAAUUCCGCGUGUAGCAGUGAAAUGCGUAGAUAUGCGGAGGAACACCGAUGGCGAAGGCAAUCCCCUGGGCCUGCACUGACGCUCAUGCACGAAAGCGUGGGGAGCAAACAGG